This 2470-nucleotide ribosomal RNA is filed under the name Streptomyces lavendulae subsp. lavendulae. Its description in RNAcentral is "partial 23S ribosomal RNA". It matches the Rfam family "Bacterial large subunit ribosomal RNA", at positions 590 to 2925 of the family's 2925-position model. Lineage: Bacteria; Bacillati; Actinomycetota; Actinomycetes; Kitasatosporales; Streptomycetaceae. The record is from RNAcentral.
GUCGUGACUGCGUGCCUUUUGAAGAAUGAGCCUGCGAGUUAGCGGUGUGUAGCGAGGUUAACCCGUGUGGGGAAGCCGUAGCGAAAGCGAGUCCGAAUAGGGCGAUUGAGUUGCACGCUCUAGACCCGAAGCGGAGUGAUCUAGCCAUGGGCAGGUUGAAGCGGAGGUAAGACUUCGUGGAGGACCGAACCCACCAGGGUUGAAAACCUGGGGGAUGACCUGUGGUUAGGGGUGAAAGGCCAAUCAAACUCCGUGAUAGCUGGUUCUCCCCGAAAUGCAUUUAGGUGCAGCGUCGUGUGUUUCUUGCCGGAGGUAGAGCACUGGAUAGGCGAUGGGCCCUACCGGGUUACUGACCUUAGCCAAACUCCGAAUGCCGGUAAGUGAGAGCACGGCAGUGAGACUGUGGGGGAUAAGCUCCAUGGUCGAGAGGGAAACAGCCCAGAGCAUCGACUAAGGCCCCUAAGCGUACGCUAAGUGGGAAAGGAUGUGGAGUCGCAGAGACAACCAGGAGGUUGGCUUAGAAGCAGCCACCCUUGAAAGAGUGCGUAAUAGCUCACUGGUCAAGUGAUUCCGCGCCGACAAUGUAGCGGGGCUCAAGCGUACCGCCGAAGUCGUGUCAUUGCAGCAAUAGGGCCAACGCCCGCUGUGAUGGGUAGGGGAGCGUCGUGUGCCGGGUGAAGCAGCAGCGGAAGCUAGUUGUGGACGGUUCACGAGUGAGAAUGCAGGCAUGAGUAGCGAUACACACGUGAGAAACGUGUGCGCCGAUUGACUAAGGGUUCCUGGGUCAAGCUGAUCUGCCCAGGGUAAGUCGGGACCUAAGGCGAGGCCGACAGGCGUAGUCGAUGGACAACCGGUUGAUAUUCCGGUACCCGCUUUGAAACGCCCAAUAUCGAAUCAGGCGAUGCUAAGUCCGUGAAGCCGUUCCGGACCCUUCGGGGAAAGGAAAGUGGUGGAGCCGACGAACCAGACUUGUAGUAGGUAAGCGAUGGGGUGACGCAGGAAGGUAGUCCAGCCCGGGCGGUGGUUGUCCCGGGGUAAGGGUGUAGGCCGAGGGGUAGGCAAAUCCGUCCCUCAUUAAGGCUGAGACCUGAUGCCGAGCCGAUUGUGGUGAAGUGGAUGAUCCUAUGCUGUCGAGAAAAGCCUCUAGCGAGUUUCAUGGCGGCCCGUACCCUAAACCGACUCAGGUGGUCAGGUAGAGAAUACCGAGGCGUUCGGGUGAACUAUGGUUAAGGAACUCGGCAAAAUGCCCCCGUAACUUCGGGAGAAGGGGGGCCAUCACUGGUGAUCGGACUUGCUCCGUGAGCUGGGGGUGGCCGCAGAGACCAGCGAGAAGCGACUGUUUACUAAAAACACAGGUCCGUGCGAAGCCGUAAGGCGAUGUAUACGGACUGACGCCUGCCCGGUGCUGGAACGUUAAGGGGACCGGUUAGUGACCUUUCGGGGUUGCGAAGCUGAGAACUUAAGCGCCAGUAAACGGCGGUGGUAACUAUAACCAUCCUAAGGUAGCGAAAUUCCUUGUCGGGUAAGUUCCGACCUGCACGAAUGGCGUAACGACUUCUCGACUGUCUCAACCAUAGGCCCGGUGAAAUUGCACUACGAGUAAAGAUGCUCGUUUCGCGCAGCAGGACGGAAAGACCCCGGGACCUUUACUACAGUUUGAUAUUGGUGUUCGGUUCGGCUUGUGUAGGAUAGGUGGGAGACUUUGAAGCCGUGACGCCAGUCAUGGUGGAGUCGCCGUUGAAAUACCACUCUGGUCGUGCUGGAUGUCUAACCUCGGUCCGUGAUCCGGAUCAGGGACAGUGUCUGAUGGGUAGUUUAACUGGGGCGGUUGCCUCCCAAAGGGUAACGGAGGCGCCCAAAGGUUCCCUCAGCCUGGUUGGCAAUCAGGUGUUGAGUGUAAGUGCACAAGGGAGCUUGACUGUGAGACCGACGGGUCGAGCAGGGACGAAAGUCGGGACUAGUGAUCCGGCGGUGGCUUGUGGAAGCGCCGUCGCUCAACGGAUAAAAGGUACCCCGGGGAUAACAGGCUGAUCUUCCCCAAGAGUCCAUAUCGACGGGAUGGUUUGGCACCUCGAUGUCGGCUCGUCGCAUCCUGGGGCUGGAGUCGGUCCCAAGGGUUGGGCUGUUCGCCCAUUAAAGCGGUACGCGAGCUGGGUUUAGAACGUCGUGAGACAGUUCGGUCCCUAUCCGCUGUGCGCGUAGGAAUAUUGAGAAGGGCUGUCCCUAGUACGAGAGGACCGGGACGGACGAACCUCUGGUGUGCCAGUUGUCCUGCCAAGGGCAUGGCUGGUUGGCUACGUUCGGGAGGGAUAACCGCUGAAAGCAUCUAAGCGGGAAGCCUGCUUCAAGAUGAGUAUUCCCACCUCCUUGAGAGGGUAAGGCUCCCAGUAGACGACUGGGUUGAUAGGCCAGAUGUGGAAGCCCGGUAACGGGUGGAGCUGACUGGUACUAAUAGGCCGAGGGCUUGUCC